Molecule: non-coding RNA, 776 nt
Organism: Salmo salar (Atlantic salmon)
Lineage: Eukaryota; Metazoa; Chordata; Actinopteri; Salmoniformes; Salmonidae
Source: the annotation of a RefSeq genome assembly
UCUGGAGAUCUCCUCCACUGAAGUGACAGACUCUGCUCUGUACUACUGUGCUCUGAGGCCCAUAGUGACAGGAAAACAAAAAACACUGUACAAAAACCUGACAACAUACAGUAUACUGUAGAAAGAAAUCCAUAACAUAAAACAUGUAAUGUUGGUGUCAAGAGGAGGGGCUGUAUAAUCAAAGACCCACAUGUAGCUUAUGGAUGUUUUGUUCAGGAAGUAGCUAGUUAGUCAGGUCUCUCAGGGAUGUCUGUCGGUUUCUCAAAGGUCUAGCAAGAUGUUUUUCUUCUCAUUUGUUCUCUUUUCAGGUUUUUUAGGAAACAGUUUUGGGGAUUCAAUAAACCCUGCGACUACAGAAGAACUUGUUCCGGAGGGAAGGAAUGUCCAUCUCUUCUGCAAAUAUGAUGGCACUGUCUACAAUCUGCUGUGGUACCGCCAAUAUCCCAGAUCCAAACCAGAAUUCCUCUUGUACAUCACACCAGAGGGGUCUAUAUUUAAAGCUACUCCCCCACCUCCUCGUCUGACAGUUUCCAUUGACAAAGUGGACAAACGUGUGGAUCUGAAGAUCUCUUCUGCCGAAGUGACAGACACUUCUCUGUACUACUGUGCCAUGAAAACCACAGUGACAGAAAACUCUGACACACUGUACAAAAACCUGUCAAGAACCAUUGGAGGAAACAGACAUCCUGUAUGACAUACAUAACAUACCUACUGAAUGUUAAGGGGAGGAACUUAUGGUAGAGGAUGAUCUGAACAACAGUAUAGAAACAUAAAAA